RNAcentral lists this ribosomal RNA (1524 nucleotides) under uncultured bacterium. Its description in RNAcentral is "bacterial SSU rRNA". It matches the Rfam family "Bacterial small subunit ribosomal RNA". The record is from RNAcentral.
AGAGUUUGAUCAUGGCUCAGGAUGAACGCUGGCGGCGUGCCUAACACAUGCAAGUCGAACGAAGCACCUAACUUUGAUUCCUUCGGGUUGAAGAGUUUUGUGACUGAGUGGCGGACGGGUGAGUAACGCGUGGGUAACCUGCCUCAUACAGGGGGAUAACAGUUAGAAAUGACUGCUAAUACCGCAUAAGCGCACAGCAUCGCAUGGUGCAGUGUGAAAAACUCCGGUGGUAUGAGAUGGACCCGCGUCUGAUUAGCUAGUUGGCGAGGUAACGGCUCACCAAGGCGACGAUCAGUAGCCGGCCUGAGAGGGUGAACGGCCACAUUGGGACUGAGACACGGCCCAAACUCCUACGGGAGGCAGCAGUGGGGAAUAUUGCACAAUGGGGGAAACCCUGAUGCAGCGACGCCGCGUGAGCGAAGAAGUAUUUCGGUAUGUAAAGCUCUAUCAACAGGGAAGAAAAUGACGGUACCUGACUAAGAAGCCCCGGCUAACUACGUGCCAGCAGCCGCGGUAAUACGUAGGGGGCAAGCGUUAUCCGGAUUUACUGGGUGUAAAGGGAGCGUAGACGGUAUGGCAAGUCAGAAGUGAAAGCCCGGGGCUCAACCGCGGGACUGCUUUUGAAACUGUCAAACUAGAGUGCCGGAGAGGUAAGCGGAAUUCCUAGUGUAGCGGUGAAAUGCGUAGAUAUUAGGAGGAACACCAGUGGCGAAGGCGGCUUACUGGACGGUAACUGACGUUGAGGCUCGAAAGCGUGGGGAGCAAACAGGAUUAGAUACCCUGGUAGUCCACGCCGUAAACGAUGACUACUAGGUGUCGGGCAGCAAAGCUGUUCGGUGCCGCAGCAAACGCAAUAAGUAGUCCACCUGGGGAGUACGUUCGCAAGAAUGAAACUCAAAGGAAUUGACGGGGACCCGCACAAGCGGUGGAGCAUGUGGUUUAAUUCGAAGCAACGCGAAGAACCUUACCAAUUCUUGACAUCCCUCUGACUGUUCCGUAAUGGGAACUUCUCUUCGGAGCAGAGGUGACAGGUGGUGCAUGGUUGUCGUCAGCUCGUGUCGUGAGAUGUUGGGUUAAGUCCCGCAACGAGCGCAACCCUUAUCCUUAGUAGCCAUCAUUUAGUUGGGCACUCUAGGGAGACUGCCGGGGGUAACCCGGAGGAAGGCGGGGAUGACGUCAAAUCAUCAUGCCCCUUAUGAAUUGGGCUACACACGUGCUACAAUGGCGUAAACAAAGGGAAGCGAAACCGCGAGGUCAAGCAAAUCCCAAAAAUAACGUCUCAGUUCGGAUUGUAGUCUGCAACUCGACUACAUGAAGCUGGAAUCGCUAGUAAUCGCAGAUCAGAAUGCUGCGGUGAAUACGUUCCCGGGUCUUGUACACACCGCCCGUCACACCAUGGGAGCCGGAAAUGCCCGAAGUCAGUGACCUAACCGUAAGGAAGGAGCUGCCGAAGGUGGAGCCGGUAACUGGGGUGAAGUCGUAACAAGGUAGCCGUAUCGGAAGGUGCGGCUGGAACACCUCCUU